RNAcentral lists this ribosomal RNA (832 nucleotides) under uncultured marine group I thaumarchaeote. RNAcentral describes it as "SSU rRNA". It matches the Rfam family "Archaeal small subunit ribosomal RNA", at positions 12 to 850 of the family's 1478-position model. The record is from RNAcentral. Lineage: Archaea; Thermoproteati; Nitrososphaerota.
UCCCGCCGGACCUGACUGCUAUCGGAUUGAUACUAAGCCAUGCGAGUCUUUGUAGUAAUACAAGGCAGACGGCUCAGUAACACGUAGUCAACCUACCCUAUGGACAAGAAUAAUCUCGGGAAACUGGGCAUAAUUCUUGAUAGAUCAUAAUGCCUGGAAUGGUUUAUGGUUAAAAUGAUUCGUCGCCAUAGGAUGGGACUGCGGCCUAUCAGCUUGUUGGUGAGGUAAUGGCCCACCAAGGCGAUUACAGGUACGGGCUCUGAGAGGAGAAGCCCGGAGAUGGGUACUGAGACACGGACCCAGGCCCUAUGGGGCGCAGCAGGCGAGAAAACUUUGCAAUGUGCGAAAGCACGACAAGGUUAAUCCGAGUGAUUUCUGCUAAAGAAAUCUUUUGCCAGUCAUAAAACCACUGGUGAAUAAGGGGUGGGCAAGUUCUGGUGUCAGCCGCCGCGGUAAAACCAGCACCUCAAGUGGUCAGGAUGAUUAUUGGGCCUAAAGCAUCCGUAGCCGGCUCUGUAAGUUUUCGGUUAAAUCUGUACGCUCAACGUACAGGCUGCCGGGAAUACUGCAGAGCUAGGGAGUGGGAGAGGUAGACGGUACUCGGGAGGAAGUGGUAAAAUGCUUUGAUCUCUCGAUGACCACCUGUGGCGAAGGCGGUCUACCAGAACACGUCCGACGGUGAGGGAUGAAAGCUGGGGGAGCAAACCGGAUUAGAUACCCGGGUAGUCCCAGCUGUAAACUAUGCAAACUCAGUGAUGCAUUGGCUUGUGGCCAAUGCAGUGUUGCAGGGAAGCCGUUAAGUUUGCCGCCUGGGAAGUACGUACGCAAGUAU